This 203-nucleotide long non-coding RNA is filed under the name Anas platyrhynchos platyrhynchos (common mallard). RNAcentral describes it as "lncRNA (ENSAPLG00000030321.1)". The record is from RNAcentral. Lineage: Eukaryota; Metazoa; Chordata; Aves; Anseriformes; Anatidae.
UUUUUUACUUGUGUAUAGAGUCUGUUCCUUCAGUCUUUCUUGACGUGAAGUUAUGCUGAAGUCAAAAGGGAUAAAAUAAAAGGAAAGCAGUCAUUGCCUUUGGAAUACAGGAGGUUAGCAGACAGAAAAGAUCUAUUUACUUCAUACUUUCUAAAACAUCUGGAAACAGAAGCUGAGUGAGAGGAGGACAGUGAAAGCUCAAG